UACAGAGGUCCCAAGCGUUGUUCGGAUUCAUUGGGCGUAAAGGGUGUGUAGGUGGCGCCGUAAGUCGGGUGUGAAAUUUUAGAGCUUAACUCUGAAACUGCAUUCGAUACUGCGGUGCUUGAGGACUGGAGAGGAGACUGGAAUUUACGGUGUAGCAGUGAAAUGCGUAGAUAUCGUAAGGAAGACCAGUGGCGAAGGCGGGUCUCUGGACAGUUCCUGACACUGAGACACGAAGGCCAGGGGAG
RNAcentral lists this ribosomal RNA (245 nucleotides) under uncultured bacterium. Its description in RNAcentral is "partial 16S ribosomal RNA". It matches the Rfam family "Bacterial small subunit ribosomal RNA", at positions 524 to 768 of the family's 1533-position model. The record is from RNAcentral.